Molecule: ribosomal RNA, 60 nt
Filed under: uncultured organism
Description: partial 16S ribosomal RNA
Source: RNAcentral
AAGGUUAGAAAUCCAGCUGCAUCCUCUCCGAAAGGAGAGGAGCCUUCGAGGGUGCUGGAC